RNAcentral lists this transfer RNA (74 nucleotides) under bacterium. RNAcentral describes it as "tRNA-Ala". It matches the Rfam family "tRNA". Rfam says of the family: Transfer RNA (tRNA) molecules are approximately 80 nucleotides in length. RNAcentral also lists the same sequence under 1 other name. The record is from RNAcentral.
GGGCCUGUAGCUUAGUGGCAGAGCACCCGGUUUGCAUCCGGGAGAUAGGAGUUCGAUUCUCCUCAGGUCCACCA